This 72-nucleotide transfer RNA is filed under the name Camelus bactrianus (Bactrian camel). It matches the Rfam family "tRNA". Rfam says of the family: Transfer RNA (tRNA) molecules are approximately 80 nucleotides in length. Their secondary structure includes four short double-helical elements and three loops (D, anti-codon, and T loops). RNAcentral also lists the same sequence under 2 other names. Lineage: Eukaryota; Metazoa; Chordata; Mammalia; Artiodactyla; Camelidae. The record is from Rfam by way of RNAcentral.
GAGGGUGUAGCUCAGUGGUAGAGUGCAUGCCUAGCAUGCAUGAGGUCCUGGGUUCAAUUCCCAACACGUCUA